This 413-nucleotide ribosomal RNA is filed under the name uncultured bacterium. RNAcentral's name for it is "bacterial SSU rRNA". It matches the Rfam family "Bacterial small subunit ribosomal RNA", at positions 29 to 429 of the family's 1533-position model. The record is from RNAcentral.
AGCGAACGUUAGCGGCACGCCUAACACAUGCAAGUCGCACGAGAAAGGGAGCAAUCCUGAGUAGAGUGGCGCACGGGUGCGUAACACGUAGAUAACCUGCCCUUUGGAGGGGGAUAACGUUCCGAAAGGAGCGCUAAUACCGCAUACAGCAAGAGCCGGUUUGCCGGUUUUUGGCAAAGGUAGGGACCCGCAAGGGCCUACCGCCAGAGGAGGGGUCUGCGGCCCAUCAGCUAGUUGGUGAGGUAAUGGCUCACCAAGGCAGAGACGGGUAGCUGGUCUGAGAGGAUGAUCAGCCACACUGGUACUGGAACACGGACCAGACUCCUACGGGAGGCAGCAGUGGGGAAUCUUGGUCAAUGGGCGCAAGCCUGAACCAGCGAUGCCGCGUGAGUGAUGAAGGCCUUGGUUGUAAG